This 427-nucleotide ribosomal RNA is filed under the name uncultured bacterium. Its description in RNAcentral is "partial 16S ribosomal RNA". It matches the Rfam family "Bacterial small subunit ribosomal RNA", at positions 355 to 774 of the family's 1533-position model. The record is from RNAcentral.
UGGGGAAUAUUGGACAAUGGGCGAAAGCCUGAUCCAGCCAUGCCGCGUGUGUGUAGAAGGUCUUCGGAUUGUAAAGCACUUUAAGUUGGGAGGAAGGGCAUUAACCUAAUACGUUAGUGUUUUGACGUUACCGACAGAAUAAGCACCGGCUAACUCUGUGCCAGCAGCCGCGGUAAUACAGAGGGUGCAAGCGUUAAUCGGAAUUACUGGGCGUAAAGCGCGCGUAGGUGGUUUGUUAAGUUGGAUGUGAAAUCCCCGGGCUCAACCUGGGAACUGCAUUCAAAACUGACUGACUAGAGUAUGGUAGAGGGUGGUGGAAUUUCCUGUGUAGCGGUGAAAUGCGUAGAUAUAGGAAGGAACACCAGUGGCGAAGGCGACCACCUGGACUAAUACUGACACUGAGGUGCGAAAGCGUGGGGAGCAAACA